This 31-nucleotide ribosomal RNA is filed under the name Trichomonas tenax. Its description in RNAcentral is "partial 18S small subunit ribosomal RNA". Lineage: Eukaryota; Parabasalia; Trichomonadida; Trichomonadidae. The record is from RNAcentral.
UUCCGGUAGGUGAACCUGCCGUUGGAUCAGU